GGAUCCAGACUUUGAUUUCUUGGCCCAGGGUUGACCGCCUAGCCGACAGGGCUUAACACUUCAAGUCGAAGGGGUUACAAGGGAAGCUUGCUUCCGCUGACGACCGGGGGCACGGGUGCGUACGCGUAUGAAACCCUGCCUUAUACUGGGGGAUAGCCCGAAGAAAUUCCGGAUUAAUACCCCCCAUAACACUACAAAAAUCGCAUGAUUUAGUAGGUUAAAACUCCGGUGGUAUAAGAUGGUCAUGCGUGACAUUAGCUAGUUGGUAAGGUAACGGCUUACCAAGGCGACGAUGUCUAGGGGUUCUGAGAGGAAGGUCCCCCACGCUGGUACUGAGACACGGACCAGACUCCUACGGGAGGCAGCAGUGAGGAAUAUUGGUCAAUGGACGCAAGUCUGAACCAGCCAUGUCGCGUGCAGGAAGACUGCCCUAUGGGUUGUAAACUGCUUUUAUACGGGAAGAAAUAUAGUUACGUGUAAUUAUUUGCCGGUACCGUAUGAAUAAGCAUCGGCUUACUCCGUGCCAGCAGCCGCGG
RNAcentral lists this ribosomal RNA (536 nucleotides) under uncultured bacterium. RNAcentral's name for it is "bacterial SSU rRNA". It matches the Rfam family "Bacterial small subunit ribosomal RNA", at positions 1 to 520 of the family's 1533-position model. The record is from RNAcentral.